GCUAGUAAUGGCAGGUCAGCAUACUGCCGUGAAUACGUUCCCGGGCCUUGUACACACCGCCCGUCACACCAUGAGAGUUGGGAAUACCCGAAGCCUGUGAGCCAACAUAUAAUGAGGCAGCAGUCGAAGGUAGAAUCAAUGAUUGGGGUGAAGUCGUAACAAGGUACC
Molecule: ribosomal RNA, 168 nt
Filed under: uncultured bacterium
Lineage: Bacteria
Description: partial 16S ribosomal RNA
Rfam family: Bacterial small subunit ribosomal RNA
Source: RNAcentral